This 115-nucleotide non-coding RNA is filed under the name Saimiri boliviensis boliviensis (Bolivian squirrel monkey). Lineage: Eukaryota; Metazoa; Chordata; Mammalia; Primates; Cebidae. The record is from RNAcentral.
GUGUGUAUGAAAGGAGAGAAGGCUAGCACUCCGCUUGACAAGGAUGAAAGAGGCCCUGACAUGCAUACGGUUAAGGCAUUGCAACACACUUUAUGGCAUCUAACCAUCUUUUUUU